This 375-nucleotide ribosomal RNA is filed under the name Klebsiella pneumoniae. RNAcentral's name for it is "bacterial LSU rRNA". It matches the Rfam family "Bacterial large subunit ribosomal RNA", at positions 36 to 450 of the family's 2925-position model. The record is from RNAcentral. Lineage: Bacteria; Pseudomonadati; Pseudomonadota; Gammaproteobacteria; Enterobacterales; Enterobacteriaceae.
GCAGUCAGAGGCGAUGAAGGACGUGCUAAUCUGCGAAAAGCGUCGGUAAGGUGAUAUGAACCGUUAUAACCGGCGAUGUCCGAAUGGGGAAACCCAGUGCAAUUCGUUGCACUAUCGUUAACUGAAUACAUAGGUUAACGAGGCGAACCGGGGGAACUGAAACAUCUAAGUACCCCGAGGAAAAGAAAUCAACCGAGAUUCCCCCAGUAGCGGCGAGCGAACGGGGAGCAGCCCAGAGUCUGAAUCAGCUUGUGUGUUAGUGGAACGGUCUGGAAAGUCCGACGGUACAGGGUGAUAGUCCCGUACACCAAAAUGCACAGGUUGUGAACUCGAAGAGUAGGGCGGGACACGUGGUAUCCUGUCUGAAUAUGGGGG